Long non-coding RNA from Papaver somniferum (opium poppy), 1326 nucleotides. RefSeq lists it as uncharacterized. Lineage: Eukaryota; Viridiplantae; Streptophyta; Magnoliopsida; Ranunculales; Papaveraceae. The record is from RefSeq and is a predicted model, not a curated record. The transcript has 4 exons.
UUUUUCAUUUCAAUGUCUAAAACUCUCCCGUGAAGAACAAAUCCUACACUUAAUCUUCUCAAUCAAAGUUGAACCCAAACAUAAAUCUGAGAAUUAAACAAACAAUCGAUUCAAUUUGAUUCUACUUGAAAACCUAAAUCAUUAUCAUCAGUACCUUUUCUUGAAGAUUAAUCAGUCCAGGGGAAAGCUUGAUGAGAUUCAACUUCAAUAUUGAAGAGUUCAUCGUUGAAAGCGAUUGGAAAGAUAAGUGUAGUCUGUUCUUAUCAUUUAAUUUGGUUGCAACUGUCAAUUUAUUGAUUUCGGAGUCGAUUUCAAAAAAAAAAUUACGAUUUCAAAAACCUAAUCGCUUCGGUUUCAGUUUCAAUUUCUUAUCUAAUUCAUGAGUUUAGAUAUGUGUUGUUGUUUGGGAAAAUGUGGCUUAUGUUGGAUACACACAAUCACUUCAAGUUUAUUAGUUUGGAUUUGAAGAAUCCAAACUAAUUUUUAUCUUAUCUUCUUGUUUCUCAGUUUAUUUGUUACUCUAAUUUAAAUCUUAAUUCUAAUUUUAAUGUUUAACUUUUAUGUAUAUGUAGCCGGCUCCUGAUACUUAUGAUGACUUGUUCGACCUCGCAAGAUUCUCUAUAUGGCAAUUGAUGGUGUUGCACCUCGAGCCAAAACGAAUCAACAGAGAGCAACGCGAUUUAGGUUUUCAAAGGAUGCCGCAGAUGCUAAAGGUACUAGCUCUGGUGAAUUAAGGAGGAUUUCUAGUAUUGCUUAGGAGAAUUUUGUAGCUCAGUUUAAGGUUAGGGAGUCUGGCAGUAGUGGAGAAUGCAAGAAGGUUUAGAGGAAGUUUGCUGGAGACUUCUACUAAGGAAAGGUUGCUUGCUAGGAACUCCAAAUGAAUAUCGGUUGGCAGGGGUAAGCAAGCUAAUGAAUUGAGAUGAAUAUCCACAAUGGUCUCCCCAGAAGUUGUCAUCUGAUCCUAACCUCGAUGAAGCUACUCAAGGUUUGCUUUUGGUGAGUUGAACUCAAAUUGUGAUGGCCCAUUGUGACAAAUAUCACAUGACAUUCUAAUCAUGUACCUAAGCUUUGUAUGUGUUAACAGCAAAAUAAAUGGCCACUUGAAUCGGUUUAGCAAAUCAUGUAUACCUGAAUUAGUGUUCAACUGUUAUUUAAGAGUCGUUGACUGUUUUUUAUCACAGAAAUUACAUGUGUACAUAUUGGUACACCUGUAAUGUAAUUAAGUGUACAUUGUUGUACACAUGUGACAGAAAUAACAUGUGGAUAAUAUCCUGCCCUAGGAUUCCUAAUCAAAUUUUAGUGAAAAUUCUUCUUUCAUUUCUUGAA